AUAGUUUGAUCCUGGCUCAGAUUGAACGCUGGCGGCAUGCCUAACACAUGCAAGUCGAACGGAAACGAUGGGAGCUUGCUCCCAGGCGUCGAGUGGCGGACGGGUGAGUAAUACUUAGGAAUCUACCCAGUAGCGGGGGACAACUCGAGGAAACUCGAGCUAAUACCGCAUACGCCCUACGGGGGAAAGCAGGGGAUCUUCGGACCUUGCACUAUUGGAUGAGCCUAAGUCGGAUUAGCUUGUUGGUGAGGUAAAGGCUCACCAAGGCGACGAUCCGUAGCUGGUCUGAGAGGACGAUCAGCCACACUGGGACUGAGACACGGCCCAGACUCCUACGGGAGGCAGCAGUGGGGAAUAUUGGACAAUGGGGGCAACCCUGAUCCAGCAAUGCCGCGUGUGUGAAGAAGGCCUGCGGGUUGUAAAGCACUUUCAGUAGAGAAGAAAAGCCCACGGCUAAUACCCGUGAGUCUUGACGUUACCUACAGAAGAAGCUCCGGCUAACUCCGUGCCAGCAGCCGCGGUAAUACGGAGGGAGCGAGCGUUAAUCGGAAUUACUGGGCGUAAAGCGCGCGUAGGCGGCUUUGUAAGUCGGAUGUGAAAGCCCUGGGCUCAACCUGGGAAUGGCAUUCGAUACUGCAGAGCUAGAGUAUGGUAGAGGGAAGUGGAAUUUCCGGUGUAGCGGUGAAAUGCGUAGAUAUC
Molecule: ribosomal RNA, 699 nt
Filed under: uncultured bacterium
Lineage: Bacteria
Description: bacterial SSU rRNA
Rfam family: Bacterial small subunit ribosomal RNA
Source: RNAcentral